GCGGGUGUAUUUCAGUGGCAGAACUUCAGCUUCCCAAGCUGAUAGCGCGAGUUUGAUUCUCGUCACCCGCU
This 71-nucleotide transfer RNA is filed under the name Nakamurella antarctica. It matches the Rfam family "tRNA". Rfam says of the family: Transfer RNA (tRNA) molecules are approximately 80 nucleotides in length. The record is from Rfam by way of RNAcentral. Lineage: Bacteria; Bacillati; Actinomycetota; Actinomycetes; Nakamurellales; Nakamurellaceae.